CACGCCGUAAACGAUGAGUACUAAGUGUUGGGGGAAACCUCGGUGCUGAAGUUAACGCAUUAAGUACUCCGCCUGGGAAGUACGGUCGCAAGACUGAAACUCAAAGGAAUUGACGGGGACCCGCACAAGCGGUGGAGCAUGUGGUUUAAUUCGACGCAACGCGAAGAACCUUACCAGGCCUUGACAUCGUGAUGACCGGUUUAGAGAUAAACCUUUUCUUCGGAACAUCAUAGACAGGUGG
RNAcentral lists this ribosomal RNA (241 nucleotides) under uncultured bacterium. RNAcentral's name for it is "partial 16S ribosomal RNA". It matches the Rfam family "Bacterial small subunit ribosomal RNA", at positions 796 to 1041 of the family's 1533-position model. The record is from RNAcentral.